CUUGAAUCCUGGUGGUGCCUGAGCUCUGCCGCCGGCAGCCCCUCUGCCCGGAGAGCCCAAGACACUCAAGCAUCCCCCAGCAGGAGCGGUGAUCCUAAUCCUGACACCAUCUCUCGCAUGGAAUGCAGGGAAGAACCCCGUGUCUCAAUUCUCCCGGACCCCAGCGAAUGGCUGAAUCAAAGAGGUGCCUGCAAAGGGCUACUCCGGCCUGUGACAUACCUUGGACUGCGGAAACCGCGUCACAGAUGUAAAGACCGUGCGCUAGCCCAAACCUCCAGGGAACAUAUCUCCAACUGGUGGUGGUAUUUAUAUCACAGUAGGCUCCAGAAAAUGCUGGGCAUUGUACAGAUGUUUUCCCCCCUUCUCUUGUAUUAUUUCUUGACUUACUUCCUAUCCUCAGGGAUUGUUGUCUUCUUUGGGAGAGAAGCGAGAGUGGCGGAGCUAAAGACCGUCUCGUGCUAGUGGAUGGCGGGGGAAUUGAACCUGGGACUUCUGGAGGUUGACGCGUGGGCCUGAACUAAAAGAGCCCACUGCGGUGUGGCAGUAACGAAGGAGGGUUAUGGGGCAGCACCACGACACCCCCUAGUGGGGUCAUCAUCGGGGCUGGGAUCCAGUAUCCUGAUGCUAAAUGGGCCGGCAUCUGCCGCAGAGCUUUGGAGCAGAGCCCGGAGCUGAAGCACGGACCAGUAGGUUUUUGCCCGGAGCUGGAGCGGAGCCGGAGUGGAGCAAGUCAAAAAUUUGAUUGCUCCAAAUCCCUGGUCUGCUGCCUGAGUGAAGAUGGCCCAGCAGGGUUGUGUAUGUGGCCCUGCCGCUAGCCGGGGACGUAGCUGCCCUGUCUGCCAGGGUGGGAUGCGACAUUUUACUGACCAAAUGAGCUGCGGUUUUGGCCUCCCAAUCAGCUGUGACCCGGAAAGCCAUCGGCCAACCCAGCUUUUAAGCUAAUAAAAC
Molecule: long non-coding RNA, 948 nt
Organism: Terrapene triunguis (Three-toed box turtle)
Lineage: Eukaryota; Metazoa; Chordata; Testudines; Emydidae
Source: Ensembl